GGAAUCUACUCUGACGUGGGGGAUAACGUAGGGAAACUUACGCUAAUACCGCAUACCACCUACGGGUGAAAGCGGGGGAUCUUCAGACCUUGCGCGAUUGAAUGACCCGAUGUCAGAUUAUCUAUUUGGCGGGGUAAAGGCCCACCAGGGCCACUAUCCGUAUCUGGUCUGAGAAGAUGAUCACCCACACUGGAACUGACACACGGUCCACACUCCUACGGGAGGCAGCAGUGGGGAAUAUUGGACAAUGGGCGCAAGCCUGAUCCACCCAUACCGCGUGGGUGAAAAAGGCCUUCGGGUUGUAAACCCCUUUUGUUGGGAAAAAAAUCCAUCUGGCUAAUACCCGGUUGGGAUGACGGUACCCAAAGAAUAAGCACCGGCUAACUUCGUGCCAGCACCCGCGGUAAUACAAAGGGUGCAAGCGUUACUCAGAAUUACUGGGCGUAAAGCGUGCGUAUGUGGUCUUUUAACUCCGUUGUGAAAGCCCUGGGCUCAACCUGGGAACUGCAGUGGAUACUGGGCGACUAGAGUGUGGUAGAGGGUAGCGGAAUUCCUGGUGUAGCAGUGAUGUGCGUAGAGAUCGAGAAGAACAUCCGUGGCGAACGCAGCUACCUGGACCAACACUGACACUGACGCACGAAAGCGUGGGGAGCAAACGAGAUUAUAUACCCUGAUACUCCACGCCCUAAACUAUGCAAACUGUAUGUUGGGUGCUAUUUGGCACGCAGUAUCGAAUCUAACGCGUUAAGUUCCCCGCCUGGAGAGUACGGUCGCAACACUGAAACUCAAGGGAAUUGACGGGGGCCCGCACAAGCGGUGGAGUAUGUGGUUUAAUUCGAUGCAACGCGAAGAACCUUACCUGGCCUUGACAUGUCGAACACUUUCCAGAGAUGGAUUGGUGCCUUCGGGAACUCGAACAC
Molecule: ribosomal RNA, 920 nt
Filed under: Stenotrophomonas sp. MX-MONARCH25
Lineage: Bacteria; Pseudomonadati; Pseudomonadota; Gammaproteobacteria; Lysobacterales; Lysobacteraceae
Description: bacterial SSU rRNA
Rfam family: Bacterial small subunit ribosomal RNA
Source: RNAcentral